Molecule: ribosomal RNA, 495 nt
Filed under: uncultured bacterium
Lineage: Bacteria
Description: partial 16S ribosomal RNA
Rfam family: Bacterial small subunit ribosomal RNA
Source: RNAcentral
GACGAACGCUGGCGGCGUGCUUAACACAUGCAAGUCGAACGGAAAGGCCUGCUUUCCCUUGUGGAUUGCGGGUACUCGAGUGGCGAACGGGUGAGUAACACGUGAGUGAUCUGCCCCCAACUUGGGUAUAAGCCUGGGAAACUGGGUCUAAUUCCCGAUAGGACUGCAGGGUGGUGCCUGUGGUGGAAAACGAUUUUCUAGUGGUUGGGGAUGAGCUCGCGGCCUAUCAGCUUGUUGGUGGGGUAAUGGCCUACCAAGGCGGCGACGGGUAGCCGGCCUGAGAGGGUGGACGGCCACAUUGGGACUGAGAUACGGCCCAGACUCCUACGGGAGGCAGCAGUGGGGAAUAGUGCACAAUGGGCGGAAGCCUGAUGCAGCGACGCCGCGUGGGGGAUGACGGCCUUCGGGUUGUAAACUCCUUUCGACCGCGAGGAAGCCACCUGGUUGGAAGGGUGGUGACGGUAGUGGUAGAAGAAGCACCGGCUAACUACGUGC